Molecule: long non-coding RNA, 312 nt
Organism: Esox lucius (northern pike)
Lineage: Eukaryota; Metazoa; Chordata; Actinopteri; Esociformes; Esocidae
Source: Ensembl
GGGGCAGGCAGUGAGUAUCAGGACUCGCAGAUGGAGGGGCAGAGAUGGAGGUGGAGGGGCAGAGAUGGAGGUGGAGGGAGAGAUGGAGGUGGAGGGGCAGAGAUGGAGGUGGAGGGGCAGAGAUGGAGGUGGAGGGGCAGAGAUGAAAUAAUGGAACUGGAUGAGUGUCAUUGGAUAACUGCACAGUGCUGAAUCCAUUGAGCCCUUUAGGGUUAGGAUUAGGAUUAGGGUUAGGAUUAGGGUUAGGAUUGGGGUUAGGGUUAGGAUUGGGGUUAGGAUUAGGAUUAGGGUUAGCAUUAGCUGAACAAGGGG